UACGGAGGGAGCUAGCGUUAUUCGGAAUUACUGGGCGUAAAGCGCACGUAGGCGGCUUUGUAAGUAAGAGGUGAAAGCCCAGAGCUCAACUCUGGAAUUGCCUUUUAGACUGCAUCGCUUGAAUCAUGGAGAGGUCAGUGGAAUUCCGAGUGUAGAGGUGAAAUUCGUAGAUAUUCGGAAGAACACCAGUGGCGAAGGCGGCUGACUGGACAUG
This 214-nucleotide ribosomal RNA is filed under the name uncultured bacterium. RNAcentral describes it as "partial 16S ribosomal RNA". It matches the Rfam family "Bacterial small subunit ribosomal RNA", at positions 524 to 737 of the family's 1533-position model. The record is from RNAcentral.